Molecule: ribosomal RNA, 492 nt
Filed under: uncultured bacterium
Lineage: Bacteria
Description: partial 16S ribosomal RNA
Rfam family: Bacterial small subunit ribosomal RNA
Source: RNAcentral
AGUGAACGCUGGCGGUAGGCCUAACACAUGCAAGUCGAACGGCAGCACAGUAAGUGCUUGCUCUUACGGGUGGCGAGUGGCGGACGUGUGAGGUAUACAUCGUAAUCUACUUUUUCGUGUGGCUUAACGUAGGGAAACUUACUCUAAUACCGCAUACGACCUUCGGUUGUAUGCAGUGGAUCUUUGCACCUUUCGCGUUUGAAUUAGCCGAUGUGGGAUUAGCUAGUUGGCUGGGUAAAUGCCCACCAAGGCGACGAUCCGUAGCUGGUCUGAGAGGAUGUUCAGCGACACUGGAAGGGAGACACGGACAAGAGGACUACGGGAGGGAGCAGAGGGGAAUAGGGGACAAUGGGGGGAAGCAUGAUACAGCGAGACCGAGUGGGAGAAGAAGGCGUUGGGGUUGUAAAGACGGUUUGUUGGGAAAGAAAAGCAGCAGGUUAAGACCAAGCGGGAGUGACGGUAACGAAAGAAUAAGCACCGGCUAACUACGUG